RNAcentral lists this ribosomal RNA (253 nucleotides) under uncultured bacterium. RNAcentral's name for it is "partial 16S ribosomal RNA". It matches the Rfam family "Bacterial small subunit ribosomal RNA", at positions 524 to 776 of the family's 1533-position model. The record is from RNAcentral.
UACAGAGGGUGCGAGCGUUAAUCGGAAUUACUGGGCGUAAAGCGUGCGCAGGCGGUUUUGUAAGCCGGAUGUGAAAUCCCCGGGCUUAACCUGGGAAUGGCAUUCGGGACUGCAAGGCUGGAGUGCGGCAGAGGAGACUGGAAUUCCUGGUGUAGCAGUGAAAUGCGUAGAUAUCAGGAGGAACACCAAUAGCGAAGGCAGCUCGCUGGGACGUAACUGACACUGAGAUGCGAAAGCGUGGGGAGCAAACAGG